CCUACGGGAGGCAGCAGUGGGGAAUAUUGGGCAAUGGGGGAAACCCUGACCCAGCGACGCCGCGUGAAUGAAGAAGUAUUUCGGUUUGUAAAGCUCUGUCGGCAGGGAAGAAAGAGAUGACGGUACCUGACGAAGAAGCGCCGGCUAACUACGUGCCAGCAGCCGCGGUAAUACGUAGGGGGCAAGCGUUAUCCGGAUUUACUGGGUGUAAAGGGGGCGUAGACGGCGAUGUAAGUCUGAAGUGAAAGGCGGGGGCCCAACCCCGGGACUGCUUUGGAAACUGUAUGGCUGGAGUGCAGGAGAGGUAAGUGGAAUUCCGAGUGUAGCGGUGAAAUGCGUAGAUAUUAGGAGGAACACCAGUGGCGAAGGCGGCUUACUGGACUGUAACUGACGUUGAGGCGCGAAAGCGUGGGGAGCAAACAGGAUUAGAUACCCGAGUAGUC
RNAcentral lists this ribosomal RNA (443 nucleotides) under uncultured bacterium. RNAcentral's name for it is "partial 16S ribosomal RNA". It matches the Rfam family "Bacterial small subunit ribosomal RNA", at positions 338 to 795 of the family's 1533-position model. The record is from RNAcentral.